This 471-nucleotide ribosomal RNA is filed under the name uncultured bacterium. RNAcentral's name for it is "bacterial SSU rRNA". It matches the Rfam family "Bacterial small subunit ribosomal RNA", at positions 8 to 507 of the family's 1533-position model. The record is from RNAcentral.
AGAGUUUGAUCAUGGCUCAGAACGAACGCUGGCGGCAUGCCUAACACAUGCAAGUCGAGCGAGACCUUCGGGUCUAGUGGCGCACGGGUGCGUAACGCGUGGGAAUCUGCCCUUGGGUUCGGAAUAACAGCGAGAAAUUGCUGCUAAUACCGGAUGAUGACGUAAGUCCAAAGAUUUAUCGCCCAAGGAUGAGCCCGCGUAGGAUUAGCUAGUUGGUGAGGUAAAGGCUCACCAAGGCGACGAUCCUUAGCUGGUCUGAGAGGAUGAUCAGCCACACUGGGACUGAGACACGGCCCGACUCCUACGGGAGGCAGCAGUAAGGAAUAUUGGUCAAUGGACGCAAGUCUGAACCAGCCAUGCCGCGUGGAGGAUGAAGGCCCUCUGGGUUGUAAACUUCUUUUCUUUGGGACGAACCCCCUGUUUCUACGGGGACUGACGGUACCAGAGGAAUAAGCACCGGCUAACUCCGUG